Molecule: non-coding RNA, 1327 nt
Organism: Bactrocera oleae (olive fruit fly)
Lineage: Eukaryota; Metazoa; Arthropoda; Insecta; Diptera; Tephritidae
Source: RefSeq, a predicted model, not a curated record
GAAAAACGUAGAAAUCGUCCAUGAAAUCACAAUAUCUCCAGUUGAAAAUUCUUAUAACACAAGUAAUAGAAUGGACUGUCACUUCUGUUAUAUUCUCCUUUAUUUUCUUUUUAAAUACCUAAAACCUAAAGAAGCUUGAAUUUGAACCACCUGAAACACCAAAACUGGACCAUAACAUAUAUUGAAGAAACCGACGAUGCGCAUUAGCCAAGAGAAACCAAAAGUUUGUGCCAACUCACCGCCCAGUAAAGGAGCUACGCGGAUAAAGCACUAGUAGAAAGAAUAUAUUGUGUAUUCCGAAAAGUAUAUACUUACCCAGGCAGUAAGCUAAGCUGACAGAAGUCUGUUGGAUGGCAUAAACAGUACCAUAGCUUGACAUGGAAUUGCCGCUACCAGUGCCGUCUUGCUCCUCCUGCGCUAAAGUGGCAUCAACGAAAGUGGCCAACAGCGGCACUAAGGCAGCGUCAAUUAUACCAAUACCAAGUCCUAACCCAAAGUGUGGCAACAGUAGUUGGCUGACUGUUAUGGCGCUAGGGAUCUGCGAAUACACAACUUUAUAUAUUUUAGUAUUGCAUUUCGCCGAUUCAUAGGUAAUUACUUACCAAGAUCGAUGAAAUGCCCACCAACAGCAGGGCAAUGCAUGAAAUUUUUACUUGUCCAUAUUCAUAAGCGAAUGUGCCGAAGAAAUUGGUACCAAUAAAAUACCCUACGGAAUCCGGUAUGAACACCGUACCUAAUUGCCAUUUGGUGGGGUGAAGAUGUUGUAUCAACCAAAUGGGCAAGCAGGGCUCCAAUAUAGCCAUUGUAGAGGUGGAAAACCAUAUUGCCACAACAAUUGCAAGUAUCAUUUUAGUUUCGAGCAAAGGACGCCAUUUUGGCCGCUGUUCAUCAUUGUCAAUUGUAACCUGAGUUGUGGAGAACACGUGUAAAUUUUAAAAAACUCAAAUGCUAAAUAUUGACAUUCGUUUAUAAAAAAAAAUGUAUUACCUCGGGUUGAAUGGAGAGAUCCAUAGUUAGGAGCUGCAUUCCUAUAUGAAAACAGUGAAAUCAGGGUCUGUUUCGUAUGACCGACUGUCGUGGUGAUUCGAAAUAACUACUGGAUAAUAAUAAUAAUAACCCAACGAUUACCCUCCUCCCGCCCAACCAACGCGAGGGGGCAAUCCGCAUACGUGCGGAGUUAGCCGAGUCAGAAAAUUACAAUACAAUAGAGUUUUUUCAGUGUUGAAAUCUAAAACUGCUCAGCUACAGAAACAAAAACUUCAACAGCCAAGAUUAGUUACGAUAUAAUAAAUUGUUACAUUUUUAUUUAUUAAGAGAAAACAAUAAA